This 312-nucleotide signal recognition particle RNA is filed under the name Candidatus Nitrosopelagicus sp. RNAcentral's name for it is "signal recognition particle sRNA". It matches the Rfam family "Archaeal signal recognition particle RNA". Lineage: Archaea; Thermoproteati; Nitrososphaerota. The record is from RNAcentral.
UAGUAGGGAGGAUCAGGGUGCCAGCCGUGCCCUAUUCUGAAACCGGCUAUAUGCAGAGAUCAGCAACUGCUGGGUAAAUCUCUAGGCAGGUAACUCCCGCUUGGUGUGCGGAAAUGAAUUCACGCCGAGGCGGGUGGUUGCAGGACAAGGAUAAUCCGAAGGGAUUUUUCCUAAGACCGAACCAUCGAAAGGGAUGAGGUCCGGGAGGGAGCAAUCCUAAGAUGGAGCAUCCACGCUUCCUCGUCUACGUGGGGGAUCUUGUAUGCCUCGAAAUGGGACUAUCAGCCUAGAUUGGAGCCAGCAGAACUACUA